RNAcentral lists this ribosomal RNA (497 nucleotides) under uncultured bacterium. RNAcentral describes it as "partial 16S ribosomal RNA". It matches the Rfam family "Bacterial small subunit ribosomal RNA", at positions 28 to 507 of the family's 1533-position model. The record is from RNAcentral.
GAUGAACGCUGGCGGCGUGCCUAAUACAUGCAAGUCGAGCGAUCAGACGAUGAGGUUGCUCCUCUUACGUUAGCGGCGGAUGGGUGAUUAACACGUUGAUAACCUACCUAUAAGACCGGGAUAACUUCGGGAAACCUGAGCUAUUACCGCCUAAUAUAUUGAAGCGGAUGGUUAAAUAGGUAAAGGCGUUUUUGCGGGCACUUAUAGAUGCAGCCGCGCCGCAUUAGCUAGUUGUUAAGGGAACGGGUUACGAAGGCAGCGAUGGGGAGCCGACGGGAGCGGGUGAUCGCCCACCCUGGAACGUGGCCACGCUCCAGACGCCUACGGGAGGCAGCAGUAGGGAAUCUUACGCAAUGGGCGAAAGCUUGACGGAGCAACGCCGCGUGAGUGAUGACGGUCUUCGGAGCGUAAAACUCUGUUAUUAGGGAAGAACAAAUGUGUAAGUAAAUAUGCACGUAUUGACGGUACCUAAUCAGAAAGCCACGGCUAACUACGUG